GGUAUGGGAUGAGCUUGCGUCCGAUUAGCUAGUUGGCGGGGCAACGGCCCACCAAGGCGACGAUCGGUAGCCGGCCUGAGAGGGUGAUCGGCCACAUUGGGACUGAGAUACGGCCCAGACUCCUACGGGAGGCAGCAGUAGGGAAUAUUGCACAAUGGGGGAAACCCUGAUGCAGCAACGCCACGUGUGGGAAGAAGCAUUUCGGUGUGUAAACCACUGUCGUGAGGGAAUAAUACGCGGUUUCGGCCGCGGGGGAAUGUACCUCGAAAGGAAGCACCGGCAAACUUCGUGCCAGCAGCCGCGGUAAUACGAGGGGUGCAAGCGUUGUUCGGAAUCACUGGGCGUAAAGGGAGCGUAGGCGGAUGUUCAAGCGGAUUGUACAAUACCGGGGCCCAACCCCGGACCUGCAGUCCGAACUGGACAUCUUGGAUAGUUCAGGGGCAGGC
RNAcentral lists this ribosomal RNA (446 nucleotides) under uncultured bacterium. RNAcentral's name for it is "bacterial SSU rRNA". It matches the Rfam family "Bacterial small subunit ribosomal RNA", at positions 217 to 662 of the family's 1533-position model. The record is from RNAcentral.